AAAAAAAAUCUAAAUUUAUAUGUAUCUCUCCAUUUCGUGCACGUAAGUGAUCUCAUCAUACAUACAUAAUAUAGCUUGCUUUUUCACAGAGUAUAUUGUGGAAUUAUUUCCAUGUUAGCAUUUAAAUCUCCUUCAUAGCAGAUAACACUUGCAUAGUAUUCUGCUGAAUGAAUGAGUGCAUGAUAGUUUAUUUGUUCAGUCCUGUAUUGAUAGACACUCUGGUUGUCUCUCUUUCCUCCUCCCUCCCUUAGUCUCUCCUUCCUUCCAUCCUUUCUUUCUCUCUCUCUCUCUUUCUGCUUUUCUCCCUUCCUUCCUUCCUUUCUCUUUCUUUCUCUCUCUAUCUCUAUUUUUCUCUCUAUUACAAACCAUGGUAGAUAAAUAUCUUUGUUCAUAUACUGUGGGAAGUUUUUGCAUUAUAUCCAUAGUAAAUGCCUAACAGGAAGAGUGCCAUGUUAUGAGGACACUCAGAUAGCCCUGUGGGAGGGACCAUUUGGUGAGAAAUUGAGCCUCAUUUUAGUAAGUAGCAUAUGCCAGCCAUGUGAGUGAGCCACCUCGAAGUGAAUCCUCCAGCACCAAUUAAGCUUUCAGAUGACUGCAGUCCUAGGUAAUAUCUGAUUGCAGCUUCAUGAGAGACCCUGAGCCUAAACCGCCUAGCCAAGUCACUCUUGAUUUCCUGACUGACAGAAGUUAUGAUUUUUUUUAAUAUACUAGUUUUGGGGAAAUAUGUUAAGCAAUAUCAGAUAACUAAAAUACUUACGGCUUGGAACAGUGGUUGUCAACCCCGGACAAUUUUGCCCCUCAGGGACAUUGGCAAUGUCUGGAGACAUUUUGAUCGUUCCAACUGGGGAGGAUGCUACUGGCAUUUAGUAGGUAGAGGCCAGUAAUGCUGCUAAACAUCCUACAGUGAACAGAAUAGUUCCCAACAACAACAAAAUAUGCAGCCCCAAAUGUCAAUGGUGCCAAAGUUAAGAAAUCCUGAAUCCUAGAAUAACUUAAAUAACAUUGGAAUCAAUUUUUUUUUUUUAAAACAUAAGGUCUCACUCUGUCGACCAGGCUGGUGUGCAGUGGCAUGAUCUCGGCUCACUGCAACCUCCGCCUCCCAGGCUCAAGCAAUCCUCCCACCUCAACCUCCUGAGUAGCUGAGACUACAGGUGUGUGCGAUACCACGCUUGGCGAAAUUUUUGUAUUUUUGAAGUGACAGGGUUUCUCCCUCUUGCCUAGGCUGGUCUCAAACUCCUGGGCUCAAGUUAUCUGCCUGCCUCAGCCUCCAAAAGUACUAGGAUUAGAGGUGUGAGCCACCAUGCCCAGCCCAAAUAUUUUCUUUCUUUCCUUCUCCUUUUCUUUCCUUCUUCUUUUCUCUCCUGCUUUCUUUUCUUUUCUCCACACCCGCCUCCAGCCCUCCCUCUCUUUCUUUUUUCUUUUUUUUUGGUGACAGAUUCUCACUCUGUUACCCAGGCUGGAGUGCAGUGGUGCAAUCACGGCUCACUGCAGCCUCAACCUUCUGAGAUCAAGUGAUCCUCCCACUUCAGCCUCCCAAGUAGCUGGGAUACAAACAUGCACCACCACAACUGGCUAAUUUUUAAAAUUUUCUAUAGAAGUGGGGUCUCUUGAUGUUGCCCAGGCUAGUCUCGUAUUCCUGGGCUCAAGUGAUCCUCCUGCCUCUAUCUCCCAAAGUGCUGGGAUUACAGGUAUAAACCACUGUGCCCAGCCUCUGUAUCUUUUUCUUUUCUUCUUCUUUUUUUUUUUUUUUUUUUUUUUAAAGAAGGGGUCUUGCUCUACCAUCCAGGCUGGAGUGCAGUGGUGCAAUCUUGGCUCACUGCAACCUCUGCCUCCCAGGUUCAAGCGAUUCUCCUGCCUCAGCCUCCUGAGUAGCUGGGAUUACAGGCAUGAGCCACCACACCCGGCUCCAUAUCUUUUUUAAUUUUGGAUUUUUAAUCACCUUUACAGGCAGCGGUAAUUGAUGAAGUAAGUCCUGACCAACAUAAAAACACAUUUUUGCAAUGAGGUGCUAAAGAGUCACACAACUUCUUUUGCAAGCUAGUUGAAUUCCAAGAUCCUGUCCUUUUUGGAGUUUUGGAAAACAAUAUGUGAAAUAGGUUAUUAUUUUAAUUCUAACACUUUUUCUAUAGAUCCUUCUGGAUUAUCUAGGGACACAUUGCAUCACCUAUCAAAAAGUGUAAAUUUUAAAAAUUCUCUCUAAUCUUUAUGACUUUUUUCUUAGUUUAUUAUUCUGGUUUGAGCUUCUAGUGAAAUAUUGAAUAGCAGUGUUAGUGGAUAGUUUUUGUCUUAUUCUUGAUGUCAAGGAGAAAGUUUUAAAUAUUUCCUUAGGUGUGAUGUUUGUCAUAGGGUUUUUUUUUGUAUAUACUCUCAAUCCAAUUAAGGAAAUCCCCUUUUAUUCAAAUUGCUAAGAGUUUACUUGUUUCUUUAAUCAUGAAUGGAUAUUGGAUUUUAUCAUCGGCUUUUUCUCAAUCUAUAGAAAAGCUCACAUGGGAGAAAGAAUAGUCCUUUUAGCAAAUGGUGUGGGAGACAACUGAAUAUCCACAUUUAAGACAAUAAAACUGGAUCCCUACCUAACAUCCAUACACAAAAAUUAGCUCAAGGUACAAGAUAGGCUUUAAUAUAAGUGCUGAAACUAUAAAAUUUUAUUAGGCCUGUGCAAAAGUAAUUGCGAUUUUUGCCAUUACUUUCAAUGGCAAAACCUGCAAUUACUUUUGUGCCAAUGUAAUAGAAGAAAACACAGGAAUAAAUUUUUGUGAUCUAGGUUGGGUAAUAAUUUCUUGAAUAAGGCACCAAAAGCACAAAUAAUAAAAAAGGAAAUUGAUAAGUUGUAUCUCAUCAAAUUAAGAUUAAUUGUGCUUCAAAGGAUGCCAUUGAGAAAGUGAAAAGACAAGCAAAAGUAGGAAAAAAUAUUUUCCAAUAAAUUGUUAGGACUAGUAUCCAGAAUAUAUAAAGAAUUCUUACAACUCAAUAUCACUAGUCACUAGGAAAUGGAAAGCCAAAUCUCAAUGAGGUAUCAUAUCACACUGAGUAGGAUGGAUAAGAUAAAAAAGACAGACCAUAAUGAGUGUUAGUCAGGAUGUGAAGAAUACUGGAGCCCCUCAUACAGUGCUGGUGGGAAUGAAAAAUGGGGCAGUCACUUCGGAAAACUAUUUGACAGUUUCUCAAAACAUUAAACAUAGAGUUAACCAUAAGAACAAUCUACUCCUAGGUAUCUUCCUAAGGAAAGUGAAAACAUACAUCCACACAAAAACUCUCACAUGAAAAUUCACAGAGACAUUUUUCAUAAAAGCCAAAAAUUUGAAACUACCUAAAUAGCCAUCUGACGAAUGAAUAAAAUAUGGGAGAUCCAUACAAUGGAUUAUUAUUUGGCAAUAAUAGGGAAUGAAACACUGAUACAAGCUACAAAAUAGAUGAACCUUGAAAAAUUAUGCUAAGUGAAAGAAGUCAGGCAUGAAAUGUUACAUAUUGUAUAAUUCUGUUUAUAUGAAAUGUCCAAACUGGCAUAUCUAUAGAGACAGAGAGCAGAUUUGUGGUUUCCUAGGGUGGUAGAGAGGGGAAAAUGGGGAGUGCUAGUGGGUACAGUUUUCUUCUUAAAGUAAUGAAAAUGUCUUAAAAUUAGAUGAUGGUGAUAUUUGCCAACUCUGUAAAUGAACUAAAAGCUGUCAUAUUUUAUACUUUUAAUAGGUGAAGUUUAUGGCCUGUAAAUUAUAUCUAAAUAAAGAUUUUAAAAAUUAAUAUAAAUUUGUAUUUUUUAUUACUUAAACAUUUUGUCUAUUUAUCUCCAAUUUACUUUUUAAAAUAAACAGCUUUAUUUUUUUUUUUUCAAUUUUAAGAUAGGGCCUUGCUCCAUCACCCAGGCUAGAGUAGAGGGCAGUGGCAUGAUUAUGACUUACCGCAGGCUUGAGCUCAAGUGAUACUCCCACCUCAACCUUCCAAGUAGCUGGGACCACAGGCAUGCCACCACACUCGACUAGUUUUCGUAUUUUUUUUUUUUUUUUUGUAGAGACAGGGUCUCGCUAUGUUGCCCAGGCUGGUCUUUAACUCCUGAACUCGAGAUCCCCCUGCCUAAGCCUCCCAAAGUGCUGGGAAUACAGGUGUGAGCCACCAUACCUGGCCUAAAAAACAGAUUUGAGAUGAAACUUGCAUGCCAUUCAAUUCAUUCAUUUAAAGUGUACAGUUCAGUGUUUUUUAGUAUAUUUACAGAGUUGUGCAACCAUCACCACAAUUUAGCUUUAGAGUAUUUUCAUCUCCCCAAAAAUUAACCUGUACCAUGAACUGACACUCCCCAUUCCCUCUUCCCAACACUCCUCUUC
This 4313-nucleotide long non-coding RNA is filed under the name Homo sapiens (human). RNAcentral's name for it is "HSALNT0200323". The record is from RNAcentral. Lineage: Eukaryota; Metazoa; Chordata; Mammalia; Primates; Hominidae.